Molecule: long non-coding RNA, 979 nt
Organism: Gadus macrocephalus (Pacific cod)
Lineage: Eukaryota; Metazoa; Chordata; Actinopteri; Gadiformes; Gadidae
Exons: 2
Source: RefSeq, a predicted model, not a curated record
CUACGUGCACAUUAGCAUAUGCCACUUCCGGUAGCGUACUUCCUGUUGGCUGUCGAACUUCCGGUAACAACACGACUCGGGUGGAAUCCGGUAGCCCAAUGGCCGAAGCAAAUUUCUCAAGAUGUCUUGGACAUAUGCCGGCGAUAACAGUUGACGAUGUUAAUCGACUGGUCAGCAUUUUUUCACCCGCACCCCAAAGCAAACGAGAAAAGGGGUUUAAACUGUAUAGAUCGCAAUAUUUGCACAAUUUUGAAGGUAAGUCACAACAACAUGAUAUCCAUGCUACGUGCUAAAGUUCUGGGCCCCGUUUCCCGAAAGCAUCGUUAGCCUAAGUGGAUCGCAGAGUGUGUCGUACGAGCAUCGUACAGUUUUCACACCGUUUCCUGAAAGCAUCGUUGGUAACGAACGUCUUGAAAACGCUCGUAGCUAACGAGUGCUCCAGGGUACUCGUAGGACGCUAAGAGCAUCGUUAGCCUACUAUAGAGUGAACUCAUUAUUGCAUGAGGGAGUCUUCAUUCAUAAAAAAAUAAAACAUUCGGGAGUAUGCAAUAAUACAAAUUAUUCUAAAAAGGUCAGAGACUCCGUGCACAGCCCCGCCUUCCCCAGUGAACCAAGAAACCCCGCGCCGUGACAAACGGGGGAUUUAACCCCCUCGGUUUAACACAGGAAACUUGAGAUAAGAAGGUGAAAUCGCCGGGCGUGCCAAGCUGCGACCGAACCGGCUCGACAGUGUAGAAAGACCUAUCGCCAGGGUUCGAGUUAGGUGGUAGCCAGUGGGAGCUGGGCUCCCAUAGAGAGAGGUCUGGCUCCCAUGAAAGCAGUAAACUCAAAUAUCUGUCGGGAGUUAUAUUGACGUUCAGUGGGAUAAUAGAACGCCGGUCAUUAUCGGGAAAAUAAGCCCAGACAGGGCGAACCGGACACCGACUCGAAACGGAGGUGCUUCGAUAAUUUAUUAUUUAUUUUCGAUAAUGAGCGGCUA